AUGAACGCUAGCGGCAGGCUUAACACAUGCAAGUCGAGGGGCAGCGAGGGUAGCAAUACCUGUCGGCGACCGGCGCAAGGGUGCGUAACGCGUGAGCAUCAUGCCCGUAUCAGGGGGAUAAUCCAGGGAAACUUGGUCUAAUACCGCAUAAUAAUCAUUUGGGGCAUCUUGGAUGAUUUAAAAUUUCGAUGGAUACGGAUUGGCCCGCGUGACAUUAGCUGGAUGGUAGGGUAACGGCCUACCAUAGCUACGAUGUCUAGGGGUUCUGAGAGGAAGGUCCCCCACACUGGAACUGAGACACGGUCCAGACUCCUACGGGAGGCAGCAGUGAGGAAUAUUGGACAAUGGAUGGAAAUCUGAUCCAGCCAUGCCGCGUGCAGGAAGACGGCCCUAUGGGUUGUAAACUGCUUUUGUAUGGGAGCAAUAAGGGCUACGAGUAGCCUGAUGAGAGUACCAUACGAAUAAGGACCGGCUAACUCCGUGCCAGCAGCCGCGGUAAUACGGAGGGUCCGAGCGUUAUCCGGAUUUAUUGGGUUUAAAGGGUGCGUAGGCGGUUUUAUAAGUCAGCGGUGAAAUUUUCCGGCUCAACCGGGAUACUGCCGUUGAUACUGUAAGGCUAGGAUAUGGUUGCUGUGGGUGGAAUGUGUGGUGUAGCGGUGAAAUGCUUAGAGAUCACACAGAAUAUCGAUUGCGAAGGCAGCUCACAAAGCCAUUAUUGACGCUGAGGCACGAAAGUGUGGGGAUCAAACAGGAUUAGAUACCCUGGUAGUCCACACUGUAAACGAUGAUAACUCGCUGUCGGCGAUAUAAAGUCGGUGGCCAAGCGAAAGCGAUAAGUUAUCCACCUGGGGAGUACGACCGCAAGGUUG
This 869-nucleotide ribosomal RNA is filed under the name uncultured anaerobic bacterium. Its description in RNAcentral is "bacterial SSU rRNA". It matches the Rfam family "Bacterial small subunit ribosomal RNA", at positions 29 to 896 of the family's 1533-position model. The record is from RNAcentral.